CUUCAUGGAGGGUUUGAUCCUGGCUCAGGACGAACGCUGGCGGCGUGCCUAACACAUGCAAGUCGAGCGAGAAGGGGCCUUCGGGUCCUGGAUAGCGGCGAACGGGUGAGUAACACGUGGGCAACCUGCCCCAAGGACUGGGACAACUCCGGGAAACCGGGGCUAAUACCGGACGUUCUUGUACCACACAAGUGGUGCAAGCAAAGGUAGCUUCGGCCUCCGCCUUGGGAUGGGCCCGCGGCCUAUCAGCUUGUUGGUGAGGUAACGGCUCACCAAGGCUACGACGGGUAGCUGGUCUGAGAGGACGAUCAGCCACACUGGGACUGAGACACGGCCCAGACUCCUACGGGAGGCAGCAGUGGGGAAUCUUGCGCAAUGGGCGAAAGCCUGACGCAGCAACGCCGCGUG
This 408-nucleotide ribosomal RNA is filed under the name Gaiellales bacterium. RNAcentral describes it as "bacterial SSU rRNA". It matches the Rfam family "Bacterial small subunit ribosomal RNA", at positions 1 to 403 of the family's 1533-position model. The record is from RNAcentral. Lineage: Bacteria; Bacillati; Actinomycetota; Thermoleophilia; Gaiellales.